RNAcentral lists this ribosomal RNA (506 nucleotides) under uncultured bacterium. RNAcentral's name for it is "bacterial SSU rRNA". It matches the Rfam family "Bacterial small subunit ribosomal RNA", at positions 28 to 532 of the family's 1533-position model. The record is from RNAcentral.
GAUGAACGCUAGCUACAGGCUUAACACAUGCAAGUCGAGGGGUAGCAGGGUAGCAAUACCGCUGACGACCGGCGCACGGGUGAGUAACACGUAUCCAACCUUCCCAUCACUCGGGGAUAGCCUUUCGAAAGAAAGAUUAAUACCCGAUAGUACUUUUUUGAGGCAUCUUGAGAAAGUUAAAGAUUUAUUGGUGAUGGAUGGGGAUGCGUUCCAUUAGAUUGUUGGUGAGGUAACGGCUCACCAAGUCUUCGAUGGAUAGGGGUUCUGAGAGGAAGGUCCCCCACAUUGGUACUGAGACACGGACCAAACUCCUACGGGAGGCAGCAGUGAGGAAUAUUGGUCAAUGGGCAGAGCCUGAACCAGCCAAGUAGCGUGAAGGAUGAAGGUCCUAUGGAUUGUAAACUUCUUUUAUAGUAGAAUAAAGUGAUCCACGUGUGGAUUUUUGUAUGUAUACUAUGAAUAAGGAUCGGCUAACUCCGUGCCAGCAGCCGCGGUAAUGAGUAGUA